RNAcentral lists this microRNA precursor (100 nucleotides) under Amborella trichopoda. RNAcentral's name for it is "MIR319 microRNA precursor family". It matches the Rfam family "MIR319 microRNA precursor family". The record is from Rfam by way of RNAcentral. Lineage: Eukaryota; Viridiplantae; Streptophyta; Magnoliopsida; Amborellales; Amborellaceae.
CAGAAAUAGGGGCUCCUUUGAGGACAAAGAAAGCAUUCCGGAUCAUCUUUUUGCUCAUUGAACCAGUCAUUCUUUGGUCUGAAAGGAGCUCCAAAUUCUU